UCGACGGAGUUCGAUGAACCUAGUGAUUCAUAACUUAGUGGCGGACGGGUGAGUAACGCGUGGAUAACCUGCCUUACACUGGGGGAUAACACUUAGAAAUAGGUGCUAAUACCGCAUAAGCGCACAGAGCCGCAUGGCUCAGUGUGAAAAACUCCGGUGGUGUAAGAUGGAUCCGCGUCUGAUUAGCUAGUUGGCGGGGUAGAAGCCCACCAAGGCGACGAUCAGUAGCCGGCCUGAGAGGGUGAACGGCCACAUUGGGACUGAGACACGGCCCAAACUCCUACGGGAGGCAGCAGUGGGGAAUAUUGCACAAUGGGGGAAACCCUGAUGCAGCAACGCCGCGUGAGUGAAGAAGUCAUUCGUGAUGUAAAGCUCUAUCAGCAGGGAAGAAAAUGACGGUACCUGAGUAAGAAGCCCCGGCUAACUACGUGCCAGCAGCCGCGGUAAUACGUAGGGGGCAAGCGUUAUCCGGAUUUACUGGGUGUAAAGGGAGCGUAGACGGCCAGACAAGUCUGAAGUGAAAAUCCAGCGCUUAACGUUGGAAGUGCUUUGGAAACUGCCGGGCUAGAGUGCAGGAGGGGCAGGCGGAAUUCCUAGUGUAGCGGUGAAGUGCGUAGAUAUUAGGAGGAACACCAGUGGCGAAGGCGGCCUGCUGGACUGCAACUGACGUUGAGGCUCGAAGGCGUGGGGAGCAAACAGGAUUAGAUACCCUGGUAGUCCACGCGGUAAACGAUGAUUACUAGGUGUCGGGGGGCUAG
This 758-nucleotide ribosomal RNA is filed under the name uncultured bacterium. Its description in RNAcentral is "bacterial SSU rRNA". It matches the Rfam family "Bacterial small subunit ribosomal RNA", at positions 62 to 834 of the family's 1533-position model. The record is from RNAcentral.